AUUAAACGCUGGCGGCAUGCCUUACACAUGCAAGUCGAACGGUAGCGCGGGGCAACCUGGCGACGAGUGGCGAACGGGUGAGUAAAGCAUCGGAACGUGCCCUGGAAUGGGGGAUAACGUAGCGAAAGUUACGCUAAUACCGCAUAUUCUGUGAGCAGGAAAGCAGGGGAUCGCAAGACCUUGCGUUCUGGGAGCGGCCGAUGUCGGAUUAGCUAGUUGGUGGGGUAAAAGCCUACCAAGGCGACGAUCCGUAGCGGGUCUGAGAGGAUGAUCCGCCACACUGGGACUGAGACACGGCCCAGACUCCUACGGGAAGCAGCAGUGGGGAAUUUUGGACAAUGGGCGGAAGCCUGAUCCAGCCAUGCCGCGUGAGUGAAGAAGGCCUUC
Molecule: ribosomal RNA, 387 nt
Filed under: uncultured bacterium
Lineage: Bacteria
Description: bacterial SSU rRNA
Rfam family: Bacterial small subunit ribosomal RNA
Source: RNAcentral